UUUGGUGGCGAUAGCGAAGAGGUCACACCCGUUCCCAUGCCGAACACGGAAGUUAAGCUCUUCAGCGCCGAUGGUAGUCGGGGGU
RNAcentral lists this ribosomal RNA (85 nucleotides) under Bacillus spizizenii. RNAcentral also lists the same sequence under 1 other name. The record is from RNAcentral. Lineage: Bacteria; Bacillati; Bacillota; Bacilli; Caryophanales; Bacillaceae.